RNAcentral lists this ribosomal RNA (477 nucleotides) under Proasellus sp. Maglia. Its description in RNAcentral is "partial 16S ribosomal RNA". It matches the Rfam family "Bacterial large subunit ribosomal RNA", at positions 1834 to 2597 of the family's 2925-position model. The record is from RNAcentral. Lineage: Eukaryota; Metazoa; Arthropoda; Malacostraca; Isopoda; Asellidae.
CUCUUGGGUCUGUCCUAAGUAAUCUCUGCCCUAUGAAUAGUUUAAAUGGCCGCAGUACUCUGACUGUGCAAAGGUAGCAUAAUCAUUUGCUUCUUAAUUAGAAGCCGGAAUGAAAGAGGCGACGAAAUCUAGGCUAUCAAAAUUUUUAGUAUAAAUUGACAACCAGGUCAAAAGGCCCGGAUGCUACAGGGGGACGACAAGACCCUAUAAAACUUUACCUUUCGCGCGGUGGUUAGCAGAAUGCCGCUGGGCACAACGGUUUUACUGGGGCGGUGCGUGUAAAAACAACUUGAGGUCUAAUAUAUUAAAUAAAGCGAUAUAACUCUUAUAGAAAUAGAAUAAGUUACUUUAGGGAUAACAGCGUAAUUACCCCAGAGAGUUCUUAUCGGCGGGGUAGUUUACGACCUCGAUGUUGAAUUGGGGUACCUUGUGCGGGCAGCUGUGCACAAAGAUAGUCUGUUCGACUAUUAAAUUCCC